RNAcentral lists this microRNA precursor (97 nucleotides) under Marmota monax (woodchuck). Lineage: Eukaryota; Metazoa; Chordata; Mammalia; Rodentia; Sciuridae. The record is from RNAcentral.
AUCCGAAUCAUUUGGGAUCUUAUUAGAAAUGCAGAGCCCCAUCCUAGAUCCGAUAAAUCAGUCCUGCAUUUUAAUAAGAUCCCCAGGUGAUUCGAAG